Molecule: unclassified non-coding RNA, 335 nt
Filed under: soil metagenome
Description: partial contains 5.8S ribosomal RNA, internal transcribed spacer 2, and large subunit ribosomal RNA
Rfam family: 5.8S ribosomal RNA (bases 1-120)
Source: RNAcentral
GAUGAAGAACGCAGUGAAAUGCGAUAAGUAAUGUGAAUUGCAGAAUUCAGUGAAUCAUCGAAUCUUUGAACGCACAUUGCGCCCGCCAUUAUUCUGGCGGGCAUGCCUGUUCGAGCGUCAUUUCAACCAUCAAGCCCCCGGCUUGUGUUGGGGACCUGCGGCUGCCGCAGGCCCUGAAAACCAGUGGCGGGCUCGCUAGUCACUCCGAGCGUAGUAAUACAUCUCGCUCAGGGCGUGCUGCGGGUUCCGGCCGUUAAAAAGCCUUAUUUACCCAAGGUUGACCUCGGAUCAGGUAGGAAGACCCGCUGAACUUAAGCAUAUCAAUAAGCGGAGGA